Molecule: unclassified non-coding RNA, 313 nt
Filed under: plant metagenome
Description: partial contains small subunit ribosomal RNA, internal transcribed spacer 1, and 5.8S ribosomal RNA
Source: RNAcentral
UUUCCGUAGGUGAACCUGCGGAAGGAUCAUUAUUGAAUGAACUUGGUAGUGGUUGUAGCUGGCUCUCUCGAGAGCAUGUGCACACCCGCCAUCUUUAUCUUUCCACCUGUGCACUUCUUGUAGACUUUGGGAUUUGAAAACUUAUCCGGGGCAACUCGGUCGGGAGGAGCUGCUGUAGCAAUACGGCUCUCCUUGACAAGUCUUCGAAGUCUAUGUUUUUCAUAUACCCCAUAGUAUGUAACAGAAUGUAUACAAAUGAGCCUUAGUGCUUAUAAAACUUAUACAACUUUCAACAACGGAUCUCUUGGCUCUC